AUACGGAGGGUGCAAGCGUUACUCGGAAUCACUGGGCGUAAAGGACGCGUAGGCGGGUUGGUAAGUCAGGUGAGAAAUCCUACAGCUUAACUGUAGAACUGCACUUGAAACUACCAACCUAGAGUAUGGGAGGGGGAGAUGGGAUUAGUGGUGUAGGGGUAAAAUCCGUAGAUAUCACUAGGAAUACCGAAAGCGAAGGCGAUCUCCUGGAACAUAACUGACGCUAAGGCGUGAAAGCGUGGGGAGCAAACAGGAUUAGAAACCCCGGUAGUCC
Molecule: ribosomal RNA, 274 nt
Filed under: uncultured bacterium
Lineage: Bacteria
Description: partial 16S ribosomal RNA
Rfam family: Bacterial small subunit ribosomal RNA
Source: RNAcentral